GAUGCGGUACUGCCCGCCCUCGGAGCACGGCCGCUCCCGGCAGGCCCGGCUCCCAGCCACAUUCCUCUGUGCUUAGUUAGAGCACAGGCGCAGCCUAAAAAUAGUGCUGUUCCUCUUCAGAGCGAUCCAGAUAAGUGGCUCAGGAGAGGCAGUAGGGGAGGAACUGGAGAUGAGGGCAGGCAGGGAUGCCAGAGAGGAUGAGAUCCUGUUCUGGCUGCGGUUCAUACAGAAGGCCUGUGCAUAGGCUUGAAGGUUUAAAUGAGUUGAAAGCAGAAGGAAAUGGCCUGAGAUGAAAAGCAGAAUUUUCCCCAAGUUGAAAAUGGAGAUGUGUUUUGGAUGCUUCUGGCAAGGACCACAGAGGAAGUUUACAGGCUGUGUCCACAGCGCAAGUGAUUUGAAAGGGAGAAGAUUGCCAAGAGAAAAAGUAGCUUCUUUCCUGCAUGAUGCUAUUUUUGGAAGACUGCUGGCAUCAGAUGCGGAACUGGAGAUGGCUUUCAAGGGUAGUGUCCCUGUACUACAGCACUGCUAUACAUCUGGCUGGACAAGAAUCUCGAAUAAAGUAGAUUGCCUGAGUGCACACUGA
Myiozetetes cayanensis is the source of this 583-nucleotide long non-coding RNA. RefSeq lists it as uncharacterized. The transcript has 2 exons. Lineage: Eukaryota; Metazoa; Chordata; Aves; Passeriformes; Tyrannidae. The record is from RefSeq and is a predicted model, not a curated record.